CAUGAAGUCGGAAUUGCUAGUAAUCGCGAUCAGCAUGCCGCGGUGAAUACGUUCCCGGGCCUUGUACACACCGCCCGUCACACCAUGGGAGCCGGUAAUACCCGAAGUCAGUAGUCCAACCUCGUGAGGACGCUGCCGAAGGUAGGAUUGGCGACUGGGGUGAAGUCGUAACAAGGUAUC
This 180-nucleotide ribosomal RNA is filed under the name uncultured bacterium. RNAcentral describes it as "partial 16S ribosomal RNA". It matches the Rfam family "Bacterial small subunit ribosomal RNA", at positions 1319 to 1500 of the family's 1533-position model. The record is from RNAcentral.